UUGUUAGAUUUUUUUCUCAACAGAUUUUGUUAUAUUUAAAUUGAUAUUAUUAAUAUCUUUAUUAAUUAUUAAGAUAUUUUUGAAAUUAUAUAUUUUUAGUUAGUUAAUGUAAAUAAUCAAAUAUUUCAUAUUAAAUAAUUAAUGAAAUAGUCAAACAUGAUUUUUGUACAUUUGAUUUUUUUUUGUACUUCUCUUUUAAUAUAAAAGAUGCUAUUUGAUUAUGUAUAUCUGCAAAAUCUGUCAAGGUGGCAAAAUGAAAUUUACUAUAUAUUAGAACAAAAUAUCUUAAUUCACAUGGAUAUGAUGAGGAGUAAAAAAGUAUAUUUCAAACUAAGCUUUACAGGUUGAAUUUUUAAAAAUUUUAGAAUAAUGUCUAUUUUAAGGGAAAUUGCACUCAAUAACGUUCAAAAAUAUUAUAAUUAAAAAUCAAAAUCAAUGAUAUAUUCUUAAUAUGUAAUGAAAAUUGGUAACUUCAUAAAUUGAUCCAUUAUUAAAAAAUUGCAUUGGAUGACCAACAAAAAAAUAUAAUAUCUAACUAUUUUAUUUGGUACACCAUGAUAUAAUAUAUAAAAUUACCAUCAUAUCCUUUUAUUUCAACGACAUGACCAUAACUAACUAUUAAUUAGAUAUUAAAUAAUUAUUCAGUAAUUUAUGAAAAUUAAAUCAUGGAUUAAUAUACUUCACAUAUUUACACUGUUUAAGAAUAAUGUAAACCAGUUUCUUUGUGAAUCUCAAAGACUAACGACGGCGAUACAAUUAGAUGGAACAACGAUAGGCACAAAUAAAAGGAAGGUAAUGAAGCAGAGGCGACACACAGAUGACGACGUCGGUGAAGAUGAAGCCGGCGAAUCUAAAAGCAGAGAAUCUUGAUUCAAAGGCGGCAAAAAUGAGUAAAGAAAAAAAAUUGGUCUUCCUCAUAUCACCAACUAGAUGACGGUGGGUUGAGGCAGAAAGAGAGGAAAUUGUUAUCCCUGUAAAUUUAUUUAGGUAUUACUAUUUUAUAAUUUGAGGCAUUUAAUAUAUUAUUUCUAGACCAUUUGAUAAUUUUAGUUAUGUGUACUAUACUAUUUAUCAUGUUCAGUCUAUUUAUAUUUAUAUUUUCAUUUGUAUACAAUAUUUCAAAAUAUUUAUUAUCUAUACCAUUUGUUUAUGUAUUAAUUAGUAGUUCAAUACUAUUUUACAUGUGAUGA
Brassica napus (rape) is the source of this 1190-nucleotide long non-coding RNA. RefSeq lists it as uncharacterized. The record is from RefSeq and is a predicted model, not a curated record. NCBI's taxonomy places the organism in Eukaryota, Viridiplantae, Streptophyta, Magnoliopsida, Brassicales, Brassicaceae. The transcript is spliced from 2 exons.